Molecule: signal recognition particle RNA, 262 nt
Filed under: Lachnospiraceae bacterium
Lineage: Bacteria; Bacillati; Bacillota; Clostridia; Lachnospirales; Lachnospiraceae
Description: signal recognition particle sRNA large type
Rfam family: Bacterial large signal recognition particle RNA
About the family: The signal recognition particle (SRP) is a universally conserved ribonucleoprotein involved in the co-translational targeting of proteins to membranes. Archaeal SRP consists of a 7S RNA and homologues of the eukaryotic SRP19 and SRP54 proteins. In most bacteria, the SRP consists of a 4.5S RNA and the Ffh protein (a homologue of the eukaryotic SRP54 protein).
Source: RNAcentral
CCGUGCAGCUGGGGAGUUAGCGGUGCCCUGUACCUGCAAUCCGCUACAGCAGGAGUGAUGGUUGGUCUCGGGUUGUUUCUUGUAGGGCUGCCCUUAGUAAGUGGCGUUGAUGUUUGGGUCUUGCGCGACAGGAACCUAUGAACCGUGUCAGGUCGGGAACGAAGCAGCACUAAGUAGGAGCUCUUGUGCGCCGCGAGGGUGCCUGGGCUGAGUUAACUGCUAAGGUAACGUCUAUGAGAACUUCACAAAGCCAACCGCACGG